UACGUAGGGUGCGAGCGUUAAUCGGAAUUACUGGGCGUAAAGCGUGCGCAGGCGGCUUGCCAAGUCAGAUGUGAAAGCCCCGGGCUCAACCCGGGAACUGCGUUUGAAACUGGCAGGCUAGAGUGUGGCAGAGGGGGGUGGAAUUCCACGUGUAGCAGUGAAAUGCGUAGAGAUGUGGAGGAACACCGAUGGCGAAGGCAGCCCCCUGGGUUAACACUGACGCUCAGGCACGAAAGCGUGGGGAGCAAACAGG
RNAcentral lists this ribosomal RNA (253 nucleotides) under uncultured bacterium. RNAcentral's name for it is "partial 16S ribosomal RNA". It matches the Rfam family "Bacterial small subunit ribosomal RNA", at positions 524 to 776 of the family's 1533-position model. The record is from RNAcentral.